GGGGGGGUGGGACACACACAGAGACCCUGCCCCCCCCAAUCCCUUUGCUAUUGCUUGUUCUGGAAAAGCAGCAAAACAGGAGGAAAAGCAGUGAUUUGGGGUGAGACACAGGCGCUGCUACACCGCAGAAAACACACGUUGGUUUAUUAUGGCCGCUGUGGAGGAGGCACGAGAGCAGGUUGAAGAGUGUGCAGAAGGUGGGUUGUACCAUUAUCCCACGGGACAAUACUGAUCUCAGUGUCCCAGAUUUGAUUUCUUGGGGUUCCUGUGUCCUCUCACUGUCCCACACUCCAUUCUCAGCUCAAGGCAUUUGUACCACACCAGAGACUGCUGCCA
Molecule: long non-coding RNA, 336 nt
Organism: Pezoporus occidentalis (night parrot)
Lineage: Eukaryota; Metazoa; Chordata; Aves; Psittaciformes; Psittacidae
Exons: 3
Source: RefSeq, a predicted model, not a curated record